RNAcentral lists this ribosomal RNA (520 nucleotides) under uncultured bacterium. Its description in RNAcentral is "bacterial SSU rRNA". It matches the Rfam family "Bacterial small subunit ribosomal RNA", at positions 17 to 522 of the family's 1533-position model. The record is from RNAcentral.
UCCUGGCUCAGGAUGAACGCUAGCUACAGGCUUAACACAUGCAAGUCGAGGGGCAGCGGUGGUGAAGGCUUGCCUUUACCAGCCGGCGACCGGCGCACGGGUGAGUAACACGUAUGCAACCUGCCUGCCACAGCCGGAUAAUCGGGAGAAAUUCCGUCUAAUACGGCAUAAUGCAUCGACGGGACAUCCUGUUGGUGCCAAAGGUUAAUUCCGGUGGCGGAUGGGCAUGCGUCGCAUUAGUUAGUUGGCGGUGUAACGGACCACCAAGACGACGAUGCGUAGGGGUUCUGAGAGGAAGGUCCCCCACACUGGUACUGAGACACGGACCAGACUCCUACGGGAGGCAGCAGUGAGGAAUAUUGGUCAAUGGGCGGGAGCCUGAACCAGCCAAGUCGCGUGAGGGAUGACGGCCCUAUGGGUUGUAAACCUCUUUUGCCGGGGAGCAAAGUGCCGCACGUGUGCGGUUUGGAGAGUACCCGGAGAAAAAGCAUCGGCUAACUCCGUGCCAGCAGCCGCGGUA